GAUGAACGCUGGCGGCGUGCCUAAUACAUGCAAGUCGAGCGAACGGACGAGAAGCUUGCUUCUCUGAUGUUAGCGGCGGACGGGUGAGUAACACGUGGAUAACCUACCUAUAAGACUGGGAUAACUUCGGGAAACCGGAGCUAAUACCGGAUAAUAUUUUGAACCGCAUGGUUCAAAAGUGAAAGACGGUCUUGCUGUCACUUAUAGAUGGAUCCGCGCUGCAUUAGCUAGUUGGUAAGGUAACGGCUUACCAAGGCAACGAUGCAUAGCCGACCUGAGAGGGUGAUCGGCAACACUGGAACUGAGACACGGUCCAGACUCCUACGGGAGGCAGCAGUAGGGAAUCUUCCGCAAUGGGCGAAAGCCUGACGGAGAAACGCCGCGUGAGUGAUGAAGGUCUUCGGAUCGUAAAACUCUGUUAUUAGGGAAGAACAUAUGUGUAAGUAACUGUGCACAUCUUGACGGUACCUAAUCAGAAAGCCACGGCUAACUACGUG
RNAcentral lists this ribosomal RNA (497 nucleotides) under uncultured bacterium. RNAcentral describes it as "partial 16S ribosomal RNA". It matches the Rfam family "Bacterial small subunit ribosomal RNA", at positions 28 to 507 of the family's 1533-position model. The record is from RNAcentral.